Molecule: ribosomal RNA, 485 nt
Filed under: Echetlus sp. SB0362
Lineage: Eukaryota; Metazoa; Arthropoda; Insecta; Phasmatodea; Phasmatidae
Description: partial large subunit ribosomal RNA
Source: RNAcentral
AUCCUGAAUUCGAAAUGGCGGGCCUUAUGUUCCAGGGAAUCAAUCUAGGUCAGAGCCGGGUUGAGCCGUCCUCGUCCGAGGGUGCGGUUACCCGCCGGCGUGCGUAAUGCCGUCCGGUGUGCGGUUCCUGCGCCCUCCCGGACCGAGGCGAGCCUUUAAUUCGCCGAGUAUCUGGCUGGUGCAUUUCCCCCCUAAGUAGAAGCGUCGCGACCCGUUGGGCGCCGAAGCCCCAAGACUUGGGAAGGCAGACCGGUGCGGCCUUUGUUCAUACUCAACGUAAGAACGGGCCCCCGGAACUCCCUAGCUCCGGCCGGCGCCCUGACGGUAGUCAGGAAGGGGUCGAUCCGCUACUCUGGUCACUGGGUGUGUGAAGAGCGUCCAAGCCCCCGAUGAGGCAAGGCAGCUGUAGAGCUCGUCUUGUCGAAGGCAGUUCUUGGACGGGAUCGGUGCUCCGUCAGCGACGUCACUCAUCGGAGGGUCUCCCG